Molecule: long non-coding RNA, 1032 nt
Organism: Archocentrus centrarchus (flier cichlid)
Lineage: Eukaryota; Metazoa; Chordata; Actinopteri; Cichliformes; Cichlidae
Exons: 3
Source: RefSeq, a predicted model, not a curated record
CAGAUGAUGCCACAGCCAAGCGCACGGCCUCUCGCUGAAAACACCCGCGGUUUGUGUCUAACGGACAGAUCAGCGGACAAACCUGCAGCCACUAACUACACAGGACAUCAGCUUCGUCUGCGGACAUUAAAUAACCACAUUUAGCGGCUGUUUCGCUGCCACUGAACUAACUUCAGAGGCUUGUUAUUAACGUCGGCUCUGUAAACAUCGUCGGAACGUAUAAUUUCAGCCGUCUCGGCAGUGCCCGUUGUUUUUAACAGCCGUUUAACGUUACGGCAGCCUCGAGUGUGACAUAAACGUCUAAACUCACCAGUGUUUUGUUUCCAGCGACGGGCCAGCUGUUUGCAGGAAGCUCCACAGUUAUUGCAGGAUAUACCCGAGCCAGUUGAUCCGUUAACGCUGCGCAACAUGCUAGUACGAGGGAAAUGUAGUUUUUAAAACGUGUAGUUGGACACAUGACGGAACGGCUUCUUCCAUCAACCAGAACUACAUUUCCCAUGAGGCAACGCGGUGGCCAAACAAGUUCAGCGAGGGUGGAGUGAAAAUCCCCGUGCGGCUGAGGUAGAGCACCAGGGAGGCAUUCUGCAGGCCUACUGGAUUGCAGCGCACGGUGUAGUUAACGGCGUGGCUGGAGGUGAAGGCUGGUCGGCCCCAGUGCAGAAAGACGGCGGUGGAACUGUUGGUCUUAGCAUACACGUUGUGUGGAGGAGGUGGAGGGGGCACCAAGCGAUCUCGAACAGCUGAGAGGCGACACAAAAAUUGAAUUGAAAGCUGGAGAGAAACAAUGCCCACAAAUUGAGGACAGGACUUCUCUCUGUAGCCUACAACUGGUAGCUGCGUGUGGACCUGGACGAACAGCUGAAGUUUGUACAAGACACUGUCGUGACAUCACUCCAGGCAGACAUGAUCACCAUCUGAGGGAGUAAAACACCUGAUCGCGUAAGGGAGAUGCGAACGAGAAGAAAUGUGCAGCGUGCCAGGAUAGAGUGUGGAAAAUAUUAUGUGAGCUCAUAGAAGUUGGCUAUAGAGGUU